RNAcentral lists this ribosomal RNA (254 nucleotides) under uncultured bacterium. Its description in RNAcentral is "partial 16S ribosomal RNA". It matches the Rfam family "Bacterial small subunit ribosomal RNA", at positions 524 to 776 of the family's 1533-position model. The record is from RNAcentral.
CACGUAGGGGCCAAGCGUUGUCCGGAUUUAUUGGGCGUAAAGAGCUCGUAGGCGGUUGGGUAAGUCAGGUGUGAAACCUCCAGGCUCAACCUGGAGACGCCACUUGAUACUGCUGUGACUGGAGUCCGGUAGGGGAGCGUGGAAUUCCUGGUGUAGCGGUGAAAUGCGCAGAUAUCAGGAGGAACACCAGCGGCGAAGGCGGCGCUCUGGGCCGGUACUGACACUGAGGAGCGAAAGCGUGGGUAGCAAACAGG